Molecule: ribosomal RNA, 2902 nt
Filed under: Escherichia coli DEC6E
Lineage: Bacteria; Pseudomonadati; Pseudomonadota; Gammaproteobacteria; Enterobacterales; Enterobacteriaceae
Description: bacterial LSU rRNA
Rfam family: Bacterial large subunit ribosomal RNA
Source: RNAcentral
UUAAGCGACUAAGCGUACACGGUGGAUGCCCUGGCAGUCAGAGGCGAUGAAGGACGUGCUAAUCUGCGAUAAGCGUCGGUAAGGUGAUAUGAACCGUUAUAACCGGCGAUUUCCGAAUGGGGAAACCCAGUGUGUUUCGACACACUAUCAUUAACUGAAUCCAUAGGUUAAUGAGGCGAACCGGGGGAACUGAAACAUCUAAGUACCCCGAGGAAAAGAAAUCAACCGAGAUUCCCCCAGUAGCGGCGAGCGAACGGGGAGCAGCCCAGAGCCUGAAUCAGUGUGUGUGUUAGUGGAAGCGUCUGGAAAGGCGCGCGAUACAGGGUGACAGCCCCGUACACAAAAAUGCACAUGCUGUGAGCUCGAUGAGUAGGGCGGGACACGUGGUAUCCUGUCUGAAUAUGGGGGGACCAUCCUCCAAGGCUAAAUACUCCUGACUGACCGAUAGUGAACCAGUACCGUGAGGGAAAGGCGAAAAGAACCCCGGCGAGGGGAGUGAAAAAGAACCUGAAACCGUGUACGUACAAGCAGUGGGAGCACGCUUAGGCGUGUGACUGCGUACCUUUUGUAUAAUGGGUCAGCGACUUAUAUUCUGUAGCAAGGUUAACCGAAUAGGGGAGCCGAAGGGAAACCGAGUCUUAACUGGGCGUUAAGUUGCAGGGUAUAGACCCGAAACCCGGUGAUCUAGCCAUGGGCAGGUUGAAGGUUGGGUAACACUAACUGGAGGACCGAACCGACUAAUGUUGAAAAAUUAGCGGAUGACUUGUGGCUGGGGGUGAAAGGCCAAUCAAACCGGGAGAUAGCUGGUUCUCCCCGAAAGCUAUUUAGGUAGCGCCUCGUGAAUUCAUCUCCGGGGGUAGAGCACUGUUUCGGCAAGGGGGUCAUCCCGACUUACCAACCCGAUGCAAACUGCGAAUACCGGAGAAUGUUAUCACGGGAGACACACGGCGGGUGCUAACGUCCGUCGUGAAGAGGGAAACAACCCAGACCGCCAGCUAAGGUCCCAAAGUCAUGGUUAAGUGGGAAACGAUGUGGGAAGGCCCAGACAGCCAGGAUGUUGGCUUAGAAGCAGCCAUCAUUUAAAGAAAGCGUAAUAGCUCACUGGUCGAGUCGGCCUGCGCGGAAGAUGUAACGGGGCUAAACCAUGCACCGAAGCUGCGGCAGCGACGCUUAUGCGUUGUUGGGUAGGGGAGCGUUCUGUAAGCCUGUGAAGGUGUACUGUGAGGUAUGCUGGAGGUAUCAGAAGUGCGAAUGCUGACAUAAGUAACGAUAAAGCGGGUGAAAAGCCCGCUCGCCGGAAGACCAAGGGUUCCUGUCCAACGUUAAUCGGGGCAGGGUGAGUCGACCCCUAAGGCGAGGCCGAAAGGCGUAGUCGAUGGGAAACAGGUUAAUAUUCCUGUACUUGGUGUUACUGCGAAGGGGGGACGGAGAAGGCUAUGUUGGCCGGGCGACGGUUGUCCCGGUUUAAGCGUGUAGGCUGGUUUUCCAGGCAAAUCCGGAAAAUCAAGGCUGAGGCGUGAUGACGAGGCACUACGGUGCUGAAGCAACAAAUGCCCUGCUUCCAGGAAAAGCCUCUAAGCGUCAGGUAACAUCAAAUCGUACCCCAAACCGACACAGGUGGUCAGGUAGAGAAUACCAAGGCGCUUGAGAGAACUCGGGUGAAGGAACUAGGCAAAAUGGUGCCGUAACUUCGGGAGAAGGCACGCUGAUAUGUAGGUGAAGCGACUUGCUCGUGGAGCUGAAAUCAGUCGAAGAUACCAGCUGGCUGCAACUGUUUAUUAAAAACACAGCACUGUGCAAACACGAAAGUGGACGUAUACGGUGUGACGCCUGCCCGGUGCCGGAAGGUUAAUUGAUGGGGUUAGCGCAAGCGAAGCUCUUGAUCGAAGCCCCGGUAAACGGCGGCCGUAACUAUAACGGUCCUAAGGUAGCGAAAUUCCUUGUCGGGUAAGUUCCGACCUGCACGAAUGGCGUAAUGAUGGCCAGGCUGUCUCCACCCGAGACUCAGUGAAAUUGAACUCGCUGUGAAGAUGCAGUGUACCCGCGGCAAGACGGAAAGACCCCGUGAACCUUUACUAUAGCUUGACACUGAACAUUGAGCCUUGAUGUGUAGGAUAGGUGGGAGGCUUUGAAGUGUGGACGCCAGUCUGCAUGGAGCCGACCUUGAAAUACCACCCUUUAAUGUUUGAUGUUCUAACGUUGACCCGUAAUCCGGGUUGCGGACAGUGUCUGGUGGGUAGUUUGACUGGGGCGGUCUCCUCCUAAAGAGUAACGGAGGAGCACGAAGGUUGGCUAAUCCUGGUCGGACAUCAGGAGGUUAGUGCAAUGGCAUAAGCCAGCUUGACUGCGAGCGUGACGGCGCGAGCAGGUGCGAAAGCAGGUCAUAGUGAUCCGGUGGUUCUGAAUGGAAGGGCCAUCGCUCAACGGAUAAAAGGUACUCCGGGGAUAACAGGCUGAUACCGCCCAAGAGUUCAUAUCGACGGCGGUGUUUGGCACCUCGAUGUCGGCUCAUCACAUCCUGGGGCUGAAGUAGGUCCCAAGGGUAUGGCUGUUCGCCAUUUAAAGUGGUACGCGAGCUGGGUUUAGAACGUCGUGAGACAGUUCGGUCCCUAUCUGCCGUGGGCGCUGGAGAACUGAGGGGGGCUGCUCCUAGUACGAGAGGACCGGAGUGGACGCAUCACUGGUGUUCGGGUUGUCAUGCCAAUGGCACUGCCCGGUAGCUAAAUGCGGAAGAGAUAAGUGCUGAAAGCAUCUAAGCACGAAACUUGCCCCGAGAUGAGUUCUCCCUGACUCCUUGAGAGUCCUGAAGGAACGUUGAAGACGACGACGUUGAUAGGCCGGGUGUGUAAGCGCAGCGAUGCGUUGAGCUAACCGGUACUAAUGAACCGUGAGGCUUAACCUU